This 1243-nucleotide long non-coding RNA is filed under the name Parus major (Great Tit). RNAcentral's name for it is "lncRNA (ENSPMJG00000007425.1)". The record is from RNAcentral. Lineage: Eukaryota; Metazoa; Chordata; Aves; Passeriformes; Paridae.
CUGGGACUCCCCUGAUGGAGUAUAAGGCGGCAGCUAGACAUCCUUAUGUGGCUGGCAAAGAUAAAAUUUGGAGUUCUUACAUGCAGCCUGACGAACAGAACUUUCUUUUUCCUUUUUCUGCUAAAUAUGUAAUUUGUUUGUUACAGACCAACCACUAUCGAAGUUUAACUGCUUUUCUAAACCAUCUCACUGAGACCUUAUUAAACAAGGAACAUAAAUUUUGGGGGGGAAAAUUGCCUUUUCUAAUAAAAACAUGGGAAUUAGACUGUCUCAUUUAGCAGGGUUUAGACAUUAUCUUCCUCUCUCUGCAAACUACAUUUGAUCUUUGCCAAAAAGCAGAAGUACACAGUUUAAUAUAAUAAUAUAGGACCUGUUGUGAAGUAACAGUCAAAAAAAAAAAAAAAAAAAAUCAUAACCAGGUCAUAAAUGUUAAAAUGCAAAAGGAAGGAAAUGCCUGUUAUUCAUCUUGCAGGCAGUACUCAGACAUUCAUGAAAUUGAAAGUUAAUGUACCAGGGACUUUCAUUAUCUGACCCAUUCUAUACUAUCCAUUAGAAUCCCAUAGUACUUGAGACAGAGGACCAAUAUGUCACUAAUACAAGACGAAAAAGGUCACAAAAACUAAGCAUCAAUAAGACAUUACUUCUAUAUUAAAUUUCACAACACUCAGCAGAAAACACAUUUGCUGAAACCAGAAUGUUUUAUUAUGUAAUGUAGCUAAACUGAGAAAAAUAUAUGUUUACCAAGGCAAGAGCAUAAUGAUUAGUUGUCGAGUGAAAAAAAUGAAUUUUUUCCCUCCAUUUCCUCAUUAAAGAAAUUUUGUCUGCUUAAAGGAAAAGAAAGGUAUUUCAUGGGGUUAUUUUUGCUUUUUAAGGCUAUUUCCGACAAUAGAAAUAUAUUGCUCCUUUGGCUAUAGCAAAGGUUUCCUUUCACACUACUGAAAACACAAUAUUUAUUAGUAUGUAGUAAAGCCAAAACAAAUUUGCUUUCCAUUUCCUCUAGUGGAAUAUUCCAUUUAUUUAGAACAGCUUUCAGUAAAAACAAUAUCACUACUACUGCAACAUCAUUUUCCUGUAGAAAGAUGAUGUGCUGAUUCCCUUGAGUUUUCUCCAUCCCAUUUCUCCCCUAACGUUGUUGCCCAAGCUGCUCCAUAGACAUUGCUCUUACUACACAGCUGAGAAAAAUGCAUAGCAGGAACUGUGAUGUGCAAAUAAAUUGCUAUGAAGCAACUUAUGAAAAGACUCU